RNAcentral lists this ribosomal RNA (33 nucleotides) under Steinernema arenarium. Its description in RNAcentral is "partial 18S ribosomal RNA". The record is from RNAcentral. Lineage: Eukaryota; Metazoa; Nematoda; Chromadorea; Rhabditida; Steinernematidae.
UUUCCGGAGGUGAACCUGCGGAAGGAUCAUUAU